UACGUAGGUGGCAAGCGUUGUCCGGAUUUAUUGGGCGUAAAGCGAGCGCAGGCGGUUUCUUAAGUCUGAUGUGAAAGCCCCCCGGCUCAACCGGGGAGGGUCAUUGGAAACUGGGAGACUUGAGUGCAGAAGAGGAGAGUGGAAUUCCAUGUGUAGCGGUGAAAUGCGUAGAUAUAUGGAGGAACACCAGUGGCGAAGGCGGCUUUCUGGUCUGUAACUGACACUGAGGCACGAAAGCGUGGGGAGCAAACAGG
Molecule: ribosomal RNA, 254 nt
Filed under: uncultured Enterococcaceae bacterium
Lineage: Bacteria; Bacillati; Bacillota; Bacilli; Lactobacillales; Enterococcaceae
Description: partial 16S ribosomal RNA
Rfam family: Bacterial small subunit ribosomal RNA
Source: RNAcentral